Molecule: ribosomal RNA, 265 nt
Filed under: uncultured bacterium
Lineage: Bacteria
Description: partial 16S ribosomal RNA
Rfam family: Bacterial small subunit ribosomal RNA
Source: RNAcentral
CGGAGGGUGCAAGCGUUAAUCGGAAUUACUGGGCGUAAAAGCGCACGCAGGCGGUCUGUUAAGUCAGAUGUGAAAAUCCCCCGGGGCUUAACCUGGGGAACUGCAUUUUGAAACUGGCAGGCUUGAGUCUUGUAGAGGGGGGGUAGAAUUCCAGGUGUAGCGGUGAAAUGCGUAGAGAUCUGGAGGAAUACCGGUGGCGAAGGCGGCCCCCUGGACAAAAGACUGACGCUCAGGUGCGAAAAGCGUGGGGGAGCAAAACAGGAUU